Molecule: transfer RNA, 71 nt
Filed under: Phyllodytes gyrinaethes
Lineage: Eukaryota; Metazoa; Chordata; Amphibia; Anura; Hylidae
Description: tRNA-Ile
Source: RNAcentral
GGAAGUGUGCCCGAGAGAUAAGGAUCUCCUUGAUAAGGAGGACAACAGGGACUCAAACUCCCUCGCUUCCU